Molecule: long non-coding RNA, 437 nt
Filed under: Terrapene triunguis (Three-toed box turtle)
Lineage: Eukaryota; Metazoa; Chordata; Testudines; Emydidae
Description: Terrapene carolina triunguis (Three-toed box turtle) lncRNA (ENSTMTG00000007777.1)
Source: RNAcentral
CCAAAUUAAAACACAAAUCCGCGACAGGUCCCGUUUAAGGCUGAAGUGAUUUCUUUGGUAUUGUUGCAGACGCAACUUCUGAGUCAUCGGAAUCAUGUUCAGCGUGUGAGAGAGGAGCGAGGGAGACAGGUAGCUGCUGAGGAAGGGAAAUAUCAAACUCUACUGAAACAGGCAGAACUCCAGAAGCAGGAGAUUGUGUCUGAAUUCAAGCAAGCGCACCAGAUUUUGAAGCAGGGAGAGCAACUCAUGCGUAACUGCCUGGAAGGCACAAUACAGGAUCUUGGGAAGAUGAGGAAUAAAAAUACUAAGGGGCUAUUACUUCUCGAUAAUUGGAUAGCUGAACUAAAUCAGAAGUGCCAGCAGCCAGGGAUUGAACUUCUCAAGGUAAGACAGGCCAAAAAAAUUUCCAACAGUCCAUGGGAUUUAGGCUCAUAAGU